RNAcentral lists this long non-coding RNA (584 nucleotides) under Elaeis guineensis (African oil palm). Its description in RNAcentral is "long non-coding RNA (EGUI_LNC007318)". Lineage: Eukaryota; Viridiplantae; Streptophyta; Magnoliopsida; Arecales; Arecaceae. The record is from RNAcentral.
AAAGAAGCCUGUGAAGGUAAAAGCGCAUGUGAGUGUGGGGGAUGGAAUGGUUAGGCAGCCCAUGUAAUACAUGUAGUACUGAAUGGAAGAGAUAGAACCUCUCCCACUUUGCCACCAAAAGCCAAUGCCAUGUCUCUUUGCAUCACAUGGGUGUCCCAGAGAGGGACUCCUGCUCUUCUGGAGUUGGAUCUCUUUCCAAUAUCAAGUAAACAUGAAGGUGUAGUAAACUCCCUUCUGGCUGCCUAUUGGUACCAGCCUCUUUUUAUAAGCCAAUCCAUGCUCUAACGAAUGGGCCCUGCCAUGUCCCCCAACACACCUUAAUUGUCCUUCUCUCUGACAUGGAGUAAGUUCUCCCUUUAGACAUGGUGCCACUCCUCCCCACCCUACAAUAACGCAACCACGUCCAAGGCACCACAAACACCCUCACUACGGUGAACCUGUCCUAAUUAUAGCCCGUGGGCCUUCCAAUCCGGCCCACCGAGCAGUGGGGGGGGGGGCGCGGGCGGGCCAUGAGCCACCGCCACUUCAUCCCAUCACGUGAAUAAAUUCAGGUCCUCCACAUGGCUCGGUGGUUUGUGGCCGAC